Molecule: ribosomal RNA, 496 nt
Filed under: uncultured bacterium
Lineage: Bacteria
Description: partial 16S ribosomal RNA
Rfam family: Bacterial small subunit ribosomal RNA
Source: RNAcentral
GAUGAACGCUGGCGGCGUGCCUAAUACAUGCAAGUCGAGCGAACGGACGAGAAGCUUGCUUCUCUGAUGUUAGCGGCGGACGGGUGAGUAACACGUGGAUAACCUACCUAUAAGACUGGGAUAACUUCGGGAAACCGGAGCUAAUACCGGAUAAUAUUUUGAACCGCAUGGUUCAAAAGUGAAAGACGGUCUUGCUGUCACUUAUAGAUGGAUCCGCGCUGCAUUAGCUAGUUGGUAAGGUAACGGCUUACCAAGGCAACGAUGCAUAGCCGACCUGAGAGGGUGAUCGGCCACACUGGAACUGAGACACGGUCCAGACUCAUACGGGAGGCAGCAGUAGGGAAUCUUCCGCAAUGGGCGAAAGCCUGACGGAGCAACGCAGCGUGAGUGAUGAAGGUCUUCGGAUCGUAAAACUCUGUUAUUAGGGAAGAACAUAUGUGUAAGUAACUGUGCACAUCUUGACGGUACCUAAUCAGAAAGCCACGGCUAACUACGU